Regulatory RNA element from Orchesella cincta, 114 nucleotides. It matches the Rfam family "Potassium channel RNA editing signal". From Rfam's summary of the family: This family represents a group of sequences related to the human potassium channel Kv1.1 hairpin element which directs the efficient modification of an adenosine to inosine by an adenosine deaminase acting on RNA (ADAR). Lineage: Eukaryota; Metazoa; Arthropoda; Collembola; Entomobryomorpha; Orchesellidae. The record is from Rfam.
AUUGGAUUUGGAGAUGACGUCCCGAUAACCCCAGUUGGAAAGAUUGUAGGGGCACUCUGCGCCAUCACUGGUGUACUCACUAUUGCUCUUCCCGUGCCUGUGAUUGUCUCAAAC